RNAcentral lists this long non-coding RNA (8749 nucleotides) under Malus domestica (apple). RNAcentral's name for it is "long non-coding RNA (MDOM_LNC006647)". The record is from RNAcentral. Lineage: Eukaryota; Viridiplantae; Streptophyta; Magnoliopsida; Rosales; Rosaceae.
AGAGAGGAAGAAAAAUUAAUUCAAGUCAAGGAAGGAAAAGGAAUCCAACAAGAAGAAGGAUUGACAAGUCAAAAUUUCCUAAUCCUAAUCUACAAAGGUUUCAGCCAUAAUUAAGGUUCCAAGUCAAUUUGGGACACUUAAAUCUCAGUCCAAGGGGGAGCCGCACCUUACUCUUCAUUCCUCUUUCUUGCCGCACAAGGUUGUUGAUUUCCUUUCAAUUUAAGACACAAUUGCAAGGAAGUAAUCUACUUACCCUUUUUCCUUCCCUUGUCGCACCUCCCUUACCUUUUCCUUAGGAUUCUGACUUUAAUUCCUAUUUCCCUUUAAGUUUUGGUUUAAUUUAUGUUACCUAAAUUAUUUCCUAGCCUUAAAUACCCUAAAGUCUUUAAAUAAACACCCUAGCCGCAUUCUCGAGGAUUCAUUCACCAUUCUACAUAUCCAUUCACUCCCAUACACAAUUCCAGCCAUUCUCUUUUUCCUUGCCGCAGCCCCAUUCAACCUUAACACAUCUCUGAUCCCUUCAUUCAGCCAUAAACAUCCAUAGUCACUUGUGCCGCAGCAAGGUAGGGAAGAAGAAGGGCUUUUGACGUUUCAAGCUUGAAGAUUGGAGCGUUUUAGGUGUACUUCGUUCUUGUUUUCAAUGUCUACUUUAUUAUUCUCUGAUUUUGCUGUAACUAUGAGCUGCUAAACCCCUACUUAGCUAGAGGGAAGUUUGAAGCCAUGAACAUCCUUGAGAUAUGAAUUGAUUUCUUCCAAUUGUGAUUUGAUAAGUUGUGAAUGCAAUUCAAUUAACUGUUUUCUUCAAAACUGAUUCUUGUAUGUUGAUUAAGGGUGCAUACUUAGUUUUCAUGCAUGAAUUUGAUGCUAGAAUAUAAAUGAGUUUCACCAAAUCGUUACAAAUUUAUAUUCAUGAGUAGUGAAGGUUACUAGUCACAAUCGCGUUAAUUGAAUUCUUGGCAAACGUAUCAUGCAUUCAUAGUUACAAAUGUCUCGUCAACACUUAUGAUUUCCAUAGAACGUAAUGAUCUCUGAUUGUAUCUCUAUUAUGCAUUCAUGUAGGGGACCUUUGGAGAAUGAUUUGGGUUGUCGCAUGCAUUCAUCCAAUUCAAUGAGUAAAGGAAAAUCUGAGGGUUAAUUAGUGCAUCAUGGUUAAUGUUAUAUGUUAUAUAUACACUCAAAUGGUACUAUACCAUUUCCUUGAGUAUAUGUUAUAUAUACACUCAAUGUAAUCAUAAGGAUUUUCAUUCUUAUUUCUUUCGAAUUAAGAGGUGUAACUCUAUGACAUAGUCAUAAAGUUCAAACCAUUCAACUGAGAUGGUUUAUAAAUCCUUCUCAACUACCUUCGAGCUUGUGGUGUAGGAACUAGGUUGUUAUAUUUGUUGAUUAUUAUCUUGUCUCUCAAAGAACCCAUUCUUUGAAAUCUAUCUCCCGUUCAUUUGCUCUAUGUUAGGCAAAUCCUAGUGUAGGAUUACAAUACCUAACAAACAACAUUUGUUAGUUGGUUUGUAGAAGUGAUAUCCAAAGGUUAAUGUAAGGAUAUCACACAAGAUUGUUCUCAAACAAAUAUUGCUUAUUAGCACACAACCUCAAAUCUUAACACAUUUAAGACUUGUCUUUCUUUGCAAUUACGUCCUGUGGAGACAUGAAAAUUAUGGAAGAUCUUCUAAUUGACAAGCAUAUUGUCUUAGAAGUAUAUAUCCUAUAUAUGGGUAAUUGAUAACAUUCAAUGAACUAUAUCUUAUUCGAGUUCGUUCUUCUCCCAAUGGAGAAAUCUAUUAUCUUAUGAUGCUUCUUUCCUUGAUAUCUUUCAAGGAAACUCAUCUAAAGUAUCAGUUUUCCUUGGAUCAAAUUUAAGGAGGUAAAUACUUUAGACAUUUUACUCAUCAACUUACAUUCUUGAAUUCUAUGAAACCUUUUGCAAAGUAUUUGGGCUUGUGUUUAUUCAAAAUAAACGAUAGUCCAACCGAAAGCGAUCUUCAGUGAAUGUCAUAUAACAUGAGUAAUAUUAUGUUGUGGACAAGUGUCACUAACAUCUAAGUGAAUUAACCUCAACAACUUUGUGAUUUUUAUUCUUUCCAAAAGAAUAAAGAUUUGAACAUUUCGCCCCUAUACAAUUUUAACAAGAAGGCAUUGGAUCUGGAUCAAACGAUCCAAAGCAUCCAUCUAGGACCAAUUUGUAAUUUAUGUUUUAGAGGUGUCCCAACUCAGUGGGAUUAGUCACUACCUUGCAACCCUUUGGGUUUUAAGCAUCAUUAUAGUCUAAACAAUUAACAAUACCACAUCAUUUUUACUAUAGAGACAAUCAAUUAGAUUACAAUAAUCCAAUCAUUCAAUAAUAAAGAACAAUGUUUUGUCAAACAAAACACUCAUCCAUCUCUUAUAAUGACGGAAUUAAGUUCCUUUAUUCAAAUUGAAAUGUAAAGACAAUCUUGUUUUCCAUUUUCUUUGGUAGUUCAUAUGAGGAAGUAAGUACUAUCUGCUUUCACAGAGAUCUAUAUUUGAUUCACGUUCCGAAUGUGAAGUACUUUCUCUUCUCUCAUUAAUCUUCUACUUCUUAUUAGCCACACUUUUACAACGAUUGUAAAACAUAGUUACUAAUACGGAAUCAAACAUUCAAGUAGAAGAACCAACUGUUUUGAACUAUUCAAGAACAUUUUACAACACCUUCGAAAGGUGUGUUCUUCAUACUUGCAAGACAUUUCUUGCAAAUACCCCUUCCAAUGUCCAUCCUUUCAUUAAGAAAGUUUGUUCCCUUGGAGUUAUUUGCCUUCUUCAUUUGACUUCUCCAUUGACUACAAUAGUCAUGGUCCCUAAACUCCUACUAUCUCUCUUGAAAAUUAUUUCAAUUGUGUUAUACACAUCAAACGAUUUGGAGAGUGUGCGGUUAAUGUUCACUAUAUAGUUUACAAUAAACUUAGUGAACCAUUUGGAUAGGGACACAAAGGUGAAGUCCUUGCCUAGUUUCCAUCUCUUGAAGUGGUUUAACACUUCAACGCUCAAUGAUUCAAAAUCAUCAUAAGUCCAUGUUGAUGAACUAUUUUUGUCAAUCAACCAUUAUGUUCUAAACAUAAUCACAAAUUUUCAAGAAUUGUUCAAGGCAACUCUCAUUUCUUCAUACAACAAUUUGUAAAUGAAGAAUCAUGGCACAUAAAGUGUCCAUGCCCUUGUGCUUACUUCUCAAGUUCCUUGUUCAUUUAACAAAGAAACAAGCACUAGGGUUUGCGUUAACUAAGGGUUGUUCAAAGUAGCUCUUAUUUCUUCAUACAACGAUUUGUAAGUGAAAAAUUAUGACACUAAAAGUGUUGUCCUCUUUAUGAUAGACUUAUCUAACAUGUUCUUCCAAUGAUACAUUAUCAAUAGGAAGAUUGUGAGAAUGAGACUACUUAGGUACAUAUACAAUCCACUCAAGACAUUCUAUGGGAUUGUGGUACCAAGUCCCUAAACUAAAGCCUUUGGCUUUUCUUUGUUAACUUUUGGAUAGCGUUUGCAAAUAUAACGGUAAAUAAAUACAUAACGAAUAUAAAUUGAUUGAUUUUAAGCUAUUUGAUCUAGGUCUUUAAAUCAAAUAGCACCACCCACUUUUUUUGGCAAAUUCCAUAUCCCUCAUCGGAAUUCAAGAGUUUUGGAGGAAACACUUAGUAGGGUAUAGGAGACUCACUAUUACUAAGCCCACCUCACAAUGAUAUGAUGUUGGCUAGCAACAAUAAUAAUGAGAGAGUACGCUUACUCAUUUACAUCUCAUGUAAGUACCCAUCUUAUUUGGCCUCUAGAGAAUGAUGCCUCACAAUGAUAUGAUGUUGGCUCCAUUGCACUUAGUUAAGUCAUUCCCACCAUGCAAGUUCGGGUAGAGGUUCAAGAACAACCUCACAAUGAUAUGAUGUUGAUCAUUCUCGUUGCCUACCUUCACAACAUCAUGUAUGCGUAUAGGACUCCUCCUGAGUGUAAGCACGCACUUUGUACUCCCCAUGAUAAGGUGAAGUUGGUGUACGAGUCAUAAAUGAUUGGAGACUACCACGGUGGAAGGACACGAAAAAGUGUUCAAAGCACUAUCAUGCUUGUCAACUUAAUAAUGGUUUGGUUGAGGGUUUUAGGUCUCAUCACAUUUAAGCAUGCUUUUUAAUCUUAUUAAAACAAUUUGGUCCUAUUACAACUAUUGGUCCAUGUGAUUGAUUUAGUAGUAUAUGAUACUCCCACUAUGCUUGUAAAACGGUUUUUAAAGCAAGAAUAUAUGGUACUACUAACAUAAGCUUUGCUUUGCAUUCAUUGAUGGACUAUAUAGUUGCCUUAGGGCCUUAGGAUAACUAUGAACCUUUGAUUCGAUCCAACACGAGCCUAGUGUCGGAUCUCGGUCUAGGAAUGGUUAUUGAUUUUAGUUACGCAUUUAAUCACAUUAAGGCGUGUUUUCUUAUUGGGCAUUGGACCCACUACUCCAAUUUCAUGCAUAUCAAAUAAAACAAGAAAGAGUACUUCAAAGUAAAGAAGAGCUUAUGCUCUUUUACAACAUUUGAUCAAAACAAAUUACUUUAAAGUAAAGAAGAGCUUAUGCUUUUUUACAACAUUUGAUCACAUCAAAUUACAACCAAAAUAUAAUCUACACAUUCACAUGGUUCAAACAAUUUGAGAGACGGCUUUUCACAUAGCUCAAUUAUCGUAGGCUUAGGUUCAUAAUCACCAUUUCUUUAAUUAAUUAACGCUUUAACUAGUUAACUUGAAUGCAACAUUGUCAUUUGGUUUUCGUAUCCAUAGAAUUGAUUUAGAUGGAGCUAAAUGAAAUGAAAAUCCAAUUCUCAUUUAAAGAUACAAAACUAUUUUGUUCUCAACUAAUUUGGGCCAAAAUGCAAUAACCUCAACUUUUGGGCUAUAUCACAAAACACAAACUUUUGAGGUCACUUUGUAAAAACACAAAAGUCCACUACUUCAUGUAAAUACAACUAGAACCCAAAAAUUUCAACAUUUCAUUAAAGGAGCAAAACAAUUUGUCCUUUAGUGAUUUUGGGCCUUUACGUAAAAACGUAAACUUUUGGGUCAAAGUGCAAAUACAUAAAAAUAUCAAAACUUUAUGUAAUUGCAUAAAAGUCCCAAAAUUACCCCCAUUAAAGGGUUGGCCGGUUAUGGUAGCGUGAGUGGUUGGAUUGGUUUUUAUUGAAAAACAAAGUCAUAAAGUUAAGUAUGUUGACAGGUUGGUGAUGGGUUGCUGUUGAAAAAAUAGGUAUGGGUGUGUAAGAGAAUUACCAAUCAUGUACAAAAUUUCAAACACUCUUUCAACAAAUUCAAUCAAUUUUUCAAGAAAAAAACUUGUUGAUUGAAAAGUCAAACCAUCCAUCAUAAAACAAGACUUUAUGUAAACAACCAAAAAUUUUGAAUCAAAAUUUCCAACCUUUUUGUUUUUGCCAAGAACAAUGAAGAACAUCCAUGAAAACCCAUAAGAGCUCCAUGAAUAUUUUUCGCCCAAAGACACCCAAAAAACUCUCAAACUUAAGGGAAAUAACAUAUUACCAUACUAGGGUACUUAGGGGUUCCUAAUGUCACUUUAAAACACUUUUAACAAGAAAAACAUGAACCCAAAAAUCCAACCUUUGGAUUUGGCAGAAUUUCCCUAUAAACAUGGCACCAAAUUUUAGCUCUAAAAUUCAUGCUCAUACGAACUACAUCUACAACAUUUGAGAUGGCAAAUUUCUAACAAAAUUUACAUUCAAAGAAGCAAGAAUAAAGCUUGUAACAAUUACAACAUUCAAAUCAUAAACUAUGAAAAUACAAAACUCAAAAGGUUCACCAACUACUAGACCUAGGCUCUGAUACCACUUGAAAGAAAUAUUAUGAAAACAAGUUCAUUUGAGCAACAUCUAUGCAUGCUAUUAACAAUUAAAAGGUAGAGUCAUGCUUGUAUGCACUAAAAAACAAAACUUAACCCAUGAAAUUCAAAGCCUAGUAGUUAUGGUGAACCAAGACUCAACUCAAGAACAAAGUGAGUUGAGAAAUGUUAUACCUUUGUUGAUUCCUCUUUGUAUAAGCAAAGGCUAAUCACCCAAGAGAUAGGGUCUUCAUUCUUACUUCUUUGCUCCAUUGAUUUUUUUGGAGGAGGAUGGUGGAAUGGAUUCUCCAAGUUCCCAAGAAAGGGAACCUCAAAGUCUCCACACCAAGGAAAGCAUUGAUGAGGAGAUGAGUGACCUAGGAAGAUUUAGAUGCUAGCAAAACCUUCCUAGGGUGGCCAGCCUCUUAGAGAGAAAAUGGAGCUUAUGUUCUCAUCUUUUCUCCAAAAGAAAACCCUAAGGAUGAAAUGGCUACAAAGUUGCCUUUAUACCACCUCACAAUGUAGUGGCAAACUUGCAAUUAAAGCAAGUUCACUACCCUUCUCUAUAUGGCUAGUCUUAAGGGUUUAUAGGGCUUUCAAGCCCUUUGUAUUUUCAAGUUGGCAUACAACUUCCGUUAUUGGACUUGACGUUCAAGUCUCAAUGGGCCUUGUGGCCCAAAACUAACCCGAGGUCUAAAACGAACUUAUUCGUAUGAUUAAUCAUCAUAUUAAUUAAUCCUUUCCAUAAAUAAUUAAACCAUUUAAUUAUCCUAACUCAUCUCCAUUAUUUCUUCAAUCUCUACCUUACAAGGUGUACGAUCCAUUAGGUUUCUUUUAGUGAGGCAGUGGGUUAUUAGAACUCUUCAUAUCGAUUGUGAAUUGAAACUUACUUUCAAUUCACCCUUUAGUGAUUAUUCACCUUUAGGGCUUCCACAAACCACGAGUGACACCUAGCAGUAUGCCAUGGCUACCCAACCUAAUCAGAAGAGGUGGAGAACCUAUUCAGUUUAGGAUUACAAUGCAAUAUGGUCUUUCUCUAAUACAAUACUCUUGACCACAUUGUUUGGUUUGAUAGUUUAUUCAUGUCUACUAUCCAAUGUGAUUCUCUUACUUAUAUGAUUACCUUGAAUGUGAUUUGGAACGACUUCCUAAAUCUUAUUCAUACUCUGGCCAGAGAUUCUUAAUCAUAUCAUAGAGUAUUCUCCCUCAAAUGGUUUGAAGGUUAGAGAUCUCUUGUUGCGCAUUCACUUGCCUCUAUGGCUAAGUAGCUUAACCCCAAAUAUGCCAUGGAAACCCUCUUACGAAGUGACUCUGACAUAAUCAAAGAUCAAGAACCUAAGCAUAAGACAACUAUGAUGCCUUAGGUCAUAUGACUACUUUGCAUUAUUCUAGCCAUGAGUUCUUAUGCGACAUGAGUACAACAACUCCUUAUUGAUCGCGUUCAGUGAACUCAUUCUUUAUUGAGCACCUACGUACUGGUCUUGGUGUCAGUCACACCAAUGACUCGAGACCAGUCCCUUUCCUUAUAAUCUGGAACGUUUAGGAUUUGUAUACGAAAGAGAAUGGUCUCAUGAAUCUAACUUCUUUAGAUCACAUUCUCCCAAUUACAUAUUCCUUGGACUUAUCGUUUAAGCAUAUAACAUUUAUAUGAGAUAGCUUUGAACAAUAAUAUUUGCCCUUUAUAUUAAACUAGAUUAGUUUAAUAUGUGAAAUCUCUGUAAAGUAUCAUCAUGUGAUUAUUUAAAAAAUUAUGGUAUUACAAUAAAUUUGCAAUUUUAUGGGUUUAUACAUACAUAUAUAUUGUAAUUAAUUAAUUUUUUUUUAAUUUUUCUAAAACUUUUUAUAAUGGGCAUUGGUCAUAGCCCGUGAUGCUAGAUUCUAAUCUACCACGGGUUAGAUCUGUGAUUAUUAUUUAAUUGGUAAUGCGCUUUGACUGUGGUAGAACUUCAAACUUUUCAUCGCAUCCAAAUUACUAACGGGCACAAUGUUCAUGGUAGAUUACAUUUGUUUAUGUGUGGGUGUGUUUGAUUCUCUUACUCUUGUGUAUUGUAGUGAGGCUAUGAAUGAUUAUGCACCUUAAUCUACUUAUUUGACGAAUUAUGAUAAUUUUUUUUUAGCUUGUAGUUAGUUAUAACAUGCAGGUUUAAGAGCGCCGAUGAGCAAAUAUAUGACCCAAAAAAAUUUAUAUAUUCCUUGUGAAGGCUAAUCAUAUAAAAUGACUUGUCAUUCGUUUGUUUGCAUGCAUCAUGGAGGCUAAAUGCAGAAUUGUCAAGGGGGGAUGUGCUUAAGCCCAUAAGGGAAUCACCUAGGGAAGAAACCCAACUUUUUUGAUUGGAGAUCCCAAGAAGGAAGUUCAAUGUGGUAGAAACAAUUGAUGUGAGAAUUACUUGACACACAAAUUAAACCCUCUUUUUGACAAUUGUAGUAUAGAUGUAAGUAGGGUAUCGUUCUAGGCUGGGGAUUAGGAGGGAUUGCUAAUCUAUUCUAAAUUAAUUUAAAAAUAUUAAACAAGACUCAAGGACACAAAACUAGGCUAAAAACUCUAAUAACUCGAAACACACUUAGAAUGACUCAAAAUAAUGAAAACAAUCAAAUUAGACACUAGGAACUGAAAUGGACGGAAAUUGAAUUAAAAGACUAACAACAAUGAAAACUAACUAAAUAAUAUAAUUUAAUAAUGGGGGGUAGUUUGGUUUUAACGAGAAGUAAAUUAAACUUAAAUAAAUUACAGAAUUGACAAAAGCAUGAAUUAAGGUGAAAUGAUAGGUGACAGACUAGCUAGAGGGUUCUUCUCCACACAUGACACAUAUGCAACCUAAAUUGAUUUUCAGUUGUUCUUUCAAUAAAUUGUAAAUCUCAACGCCCCAAAUUAACCGUGAAUUGCACUAAUUAACCCUUUAUUUUUCCACAAGUUAUUGGGUUGGAUGAUUGCAUACGACAAUCCCAAAACAUUCCCUA